CCGACGGUGAGAGGCGAAAGCUGGGGGAGCAAACCGGAUUAGAUACCCUGGUAGUCCCAGCUGUAAACGAUGCGCGUUAGGUGUGUCAGUGACCACGUGUCACUGAUGUGCCGAAGGGAAACCGUGAAACGCGCCGCCUGGGGAGUACGGUCGCAAGGCUGAAACUUAAAGGAAUUGGCGGGGGAGCACCACAACAGGUGGAGCCUACGGUUUAAUCGGACUCAACGCCGGAAAUCUCACCGGAUAA
Molecule: ribosomal RNA, 247 nt
Filed under: uncultured archaeon
Lineage: Archaea
Description: partial 16S ribosomal RNA
Rfam family: Archaeal small subunit ribosomal RNA
Source: RNAcentral